This 465-nucleotide ribosomal RNA is filed under the name uncultured bacterium. Its description in RNAcentral is "partial 16S ribosomal RNA". It matches the Rfam family "Bacterial small subunit ribosomal RNA", at positions 341 to 795 of the family's 1533-position model. The record is from RNAcentral.
ACGGGGGGCGCACCAGUGAGGAAUUUUGCGCAAUGGGGGAAACCCUGACGCAGCAACGCCGCGUGAGUGAUGAAGGCUUUCGAGUCGUAAAGCUCUGUCAAGUGGGAAGAACCUACUAAGUGCCAAUACCACUUAGUACUGACGGUACCACUGAAGGAAGCACCGGCUAACUCCGUGCCAGCAGCCGCGGUAAUACGGGGGGUGCAAGCGUUACUCGGAAUUAUUGGGCGUAAAGGGCGCGCAGGCGGCCAGGUAAGUCAGAUGUGAAAGCCCGGGGCUCAACCCCGGAAGUGCAUUUGAAACUACUUGGCUUGAGUAUGGGAGAGGGAAGUGGAAUUCCUGGUGUAGAGGUGAAAUUCGUAGAUAUCAGGAGGAACACCGGUGGCGAAGGCGACUUCCUGGACCAAUACUGACGCUGAGGCGCGAAGGCGUGGGUAGCAAACAGGAUUAGAUACCCGUGUAGUC